RNAcentral lists this ribosomal RNA (848 nucleotides) under bacterium 060620-Aspo-KJ0052F01-H6-AM7. RNAcentral's name for it is "bacterial SSU rRNA". It matches the Rfam family "Bacterial small subunit ribosomal RNA", at positions 21 to 876 of the family's 1533-position model. The record is from RNAcentral.
UGCUCAUGAUGAACGCUGGCGGCGUGCGUAAUACAUGCAAGUCGAACGCACUAGUUUACUAGUGAGUGGCGAACGGGUGAGUAACACGUAGGUAACCUGCCCUUAAGACGAGGAUAACCAUUGGAAACGAUGGCUAAGACUGGAUAGGAAUAUUUGAGGCAUCUUAAAUAUUUUAAAAGACCUAGCAAUAGGUAUGCUUAAGGAGGGGCCUGCGGCGCAUUAGUUAGUUGGUGAGGUGAGAGCUCACCAAGACGAUGAUGCGUAGCCGGACUGAGAGGUUGAACGGCCACAUUGGGACUGAGAAACGGCCCAAACUCCUACGGGAGGCAGCAGUAGGGAAUUUUCGGCAAUGGAGGAAACUCUGACCGAGCAACGCCGCGUGAAUGACGAAGUACUUCGGUAUGUAAAGUUCUUUUAUCAGGGAAGAAUGGGCAGUGGAAAAACUGUUUUGACGGUACCUGAUGAAUAAGCCCCGGCUAACUAUGUGCCAGCAGCCGCGGUAAUACAUAGGGGGCAAGCGUUAUCCGGAAUUAUUGGGCGUAAAGGGUGCGUAGGCGGUUAUUUAAGUCUUUGGUGUAAGUGCAAGGCUCAACCUUGUGAUGCUAAGGAAACUGGAUAACUUGAGUGUGAUAGAGGUAAGUGGAAUUCCAUGUGUAGCGGUAAAAUGCGUAAAUAUAUGGAGGAACACCAGUGGCGAAGGCGGCUUACUGGGUCACAACUGACGCUGAGGCACGAAAGCGUGGGGAGCAAACAGGAUUAGAUACCCUGGUAGUCCACGCCGUAAACGAUGAGUACUAAGUGUUGGAGAAAUUCAGUGCUGUAGUUAACGCAAUAAGUACUCCGCCUGA